UCGAAUAAUGUCACUCUAAUUGGAAAAACUCACUAUCCCUGGGGAAAAAGAAGGUGUGACAGCACAUGCGUCAUGCUCUUCAAUUUUCUAAGCUAUGGACGAUGCUCCAUACUCAUGAGACUCGUACACCAGCCUCUCCUGAUCUAGUAUCAGCUCUUACAACUUUGGUUUCUACUACGGUUGAUCCUCUUUCCUCUGCUUCAUCUGGACAUUAGGGAGGUGGUGGUGGUGGUCGAGGUCGUGGUCGAGAAGGUGGUCGUGGUCGCGAUUUUGGCCGUGGCACUAUUUCGCAAUUUUAUUAUAGCCAGCCACUUUUUGGGGUUCCUAGUGGUGGUCCUUUCCCGUUUUCUACCUCUGCUCGUGGCAAAUAUGGCAGCACUCUCAUUGCAGUCUCCACCAGACAAGAAUCAGUACUUGUAUUCUGGAGCAACUACACACAUGAUUUAUGAUUCGGGAUUUGGCGAUCGGGAAAGUUCUGCAUUACUCCCGCACUGAUGGGCUUCUUUAUCCUUUUUAGUCUUCCUCUACCUUAUCAUCAUUUGCUCAGCCAUCUACCUUUGUUGUCCUACAUGACUCGGUGCCUAUUUGGCAUGCACGCUUGGGGCAUCCAAGUCAUGUUAUCUUAGAUUUACUUAGAUCUAGAAAGUUUAUUUCAUUUUCUAUGACUUUUUCUAAUUCUUUUAUAGGUAACUCUUGCUUAGUUCUAAAUAUUUGGUUUUGUCAUUUUUUUUAAGUAGUUCAAGUAUUUCUUAUGUUUUUGUAUUAAUUCAUUCUAAUGUUUGGCAUUCUUCCGUGC
Molecule: long non-coding RNA, 796 nt
Organism: Nicotiana attenuata
Lineage: Eukaryota; Viridiplantae; Streptophyta; Magnoliopsida; Solanales; Solanaceae
Exons: 3
Source: RefSeq, a predicted model, not a curated record